UACGGAAGGCAGCAGUGGGGAAUAUUGCACAAUGGGCGCAAGCCUGAUGCAGCCAUGCCGCGUGUAUGAAGAAGGCCUUCGGGUUGUAAAGUACUUUCAGUCGUGAGGAAGGUGUUAAGGUUAAUAACCUUAGCAAUUGACGUUAGCGACAGAAGAAGCACCGGCUAACUCCGUGCCAGCAGCCGCGGUAAUACGGAGGGUGCGAGCGUUAAUCGGAAUUACUGGGCGUAAAGGGCACGCAGGCGGUUAAUUAAGUUGGAUGUGAAAUCCCCGGGCUUAACCUGGGAAUGGCAUUCAAGACUGGUUAGCUAGAGUCUUGUAGAGGGGGUAGAAUUCCAUGUGUAGCGGUAAAAUGCGUAGAGAUGUGGAGGAAUACCGGUGGCGAAGGCGGCCCCUGGACAAAGACUGACGCUCAUGUGCGAAAGCGUGGGGAGCAAACAGGGAUUAGAUACC
RNAcentral lists this ribosomal RNA (453 nucleotides) under uncultured bacterium. RNAcentral's name for it is "bacterial SSU rRNA". It matches the Rfam family "Bacterial small subunit ribosomal RNA", at positions 340 to 786 of the family's 1533-position model. The record is from RNAcentral.